RNAcentral lists this non-coding RNA (26 nucleotides) under Mus musculus (house mouse). Lineage: Eukaryota; Metazoa; Chordata; Mammalia; Rodentia; Muridae. The record is from RNAcentral.
UCUUCAUUCAUACAAACCUUAAACAA